Molecule: long non-coding RNA, 1969 nt
Organism: Canis lupus familiaris (dog)
Lineage: Eukaryota; Metazoa; Chordata; Mammalia; Carnivora; Canidae
Exons: 5
Source: RefSeq, a predicted model, not a curated record
GCUGGCGGGGAGGUGGGCCCAGGGGCCCUCUUUGCCCUGCCUUGGCCCCAGCACUACUGCGCAAAGCGACCAGCCUCCUUGGGGGCGUUUCCCGCGCGCCUAAGGCGGGCAAGCCCCUGGGCGCCCCAAGAGGAACGAGCCUUCGUCCAGGAGCCCAGGGAUGGGCUGGGAACAAGAAAGGCUGGGCCUGAAGAUGGAUUGGCUAGAAGGCAACAGCCGAAGUACAAGGCAAACGCUGUUAGAGGCCAGAUGCUAAGAGGGUCAUUAAUUCUGCCUGAGGAUACGGAGGAAGGCUUCUAAGUGAGGUCGCCACGGGUGACCUUUCAGCUCUUCAGAAGGCGCCCAUAUAAUAACCGGAGGAGGCGAGGGGGAGGGUGUUCUUGCGGAGGGAACUGUGAGAGCAAAAGCAGGAAGGAGGAGAACACCUGGCUUAUUGCUGAGCUCUGGGACUAGGCCUGAAUCAAAGAAUUUGGGAAGGGGUGUACUGUGAGAUGCGGUGGAGAAUGUGGAUUGAUGCCUUCUUGGGACCACUUGGAUGAAAGCAAACUUAUUUACCACGGCUUAUUAGGUCCAAGGUGCCUUUCCAGUGUUUACGGGAAAUUUAUAUAGGUAUUAAAUUAGAGACGCGGGUCAGCAUAUUUUUUUCAAUGACUUAAUCGUUUCUGAUGAGAACCAAACGUUUGACCAUCCCUUAUCCAUUAUUAGCAUAUCUUCAAGCUUCAAGCUUGAGGCAUAUGACCACUUUAAAGAUUACAUAGUAACUUCAAGUUAAGUGGUUGGGAUGGAACUUGAAAGUUUUCUAUUUUUUUAUAUUUAAAACAAUACCAUCCGAGUACCAGGUAUGAAGAGGAGAUGGUGAGCAGAUAAAAACAAGAGAAAGGGGAUGCCGGGUCCAACUGCAGCAUUCCUAGUUUGUGGAUGCAGCCUCUCUGCAACAAGAGCUCCUUACCUGUGACCCAACUAUACAUCCCUCCUGCCCCUGCUAUAGAAUACUCUGAUUCCUAAGACAUCUUUCCUUCCUUGUCCAUCAAUGUUCAUCAUCAGGAGGAGAAAUGUGGUCAAAUACUGAAACAUGAGACAUGUUCAAGCAUGUUGCUGCAAAGGUAGAUGGCCAGAACACAAUCUGUGCCUGCAUCUCCCCACAGAAAGCAAGAAUGCCUUCUACUACUCAUGUUAGGAGAGACAGAAGGGAAAGCCCAGCAGAGGUGCAGCAGAAGUUUGGGGAAGCUGAGCAAAGACACAUCUCACCAUUCCAAGUUCCAUGAUGGCCUUGAAGAGGGAGGGAACAAAGGGAAGAGGAAAAUAGGAAACAGUAACUAUUGAAGCAGAAGACCUCCCAUAACAUUGAAUUAGACCAAGGAACCCAACUUACAGCAAAAAAAGGUGUGAGAGUGAAACUAUGACACUGUUAUCUACUGGUCCUAUCACUUAUUGCAACGCUCCGAAACCUCUGGCCUGAUGGAGCAUUGGAAUGCCUUGCUGAAGGCACAGCUGAAGUACUAGCUCAGAUGAAAUGCUCUGACUGGCAUCUUCCAGGAUACAUUAAACCUACUGAAUAAAAGAUCUUCAUAUGGUGCUGUGUACCCAACAGGAAGAAAUAGCGGCAUGACCAAGAACCUCAGGCACUAAAGGAAAAAUCCUGUAACUCCCUGAGACCAGUAGCAGCAGAGGGCUAUAGCCUUGUCCUACAAGCCUUCCUCUUCUAAGUUUUCCCAGAGGGAGAGGCUUAUCAGAAACCCGGAGAAGCUACUCCUCAACAAAAAUGAUGAAGUAACAAAGGGAAUGUAACCAGAGCGUAACAGUGAAUGAACAUGGAGAUGAGCCACUGAGAUUUCCUUUUGCAAGACUUCUUGUCCAGGGAUCCCUGGGUGGCGCAGCGGUUUAGCGCCUGCCUUUGGCCCAGGGCGCGAUCCUGGAGACCCCGGAUCGAAUCCCACGUCGGGCUCCCGGUGCAUGGAGCCUGCUUCUG